RNAcentral lists this long non-coding RNA (1289 nucleotides) under Mus pahari (shrew mouse). RNAcentral describes it as "lncRNA (MGP_PahariEiJ_G0002466.1)". The record is from RNAcentral. Lineage: Eukaryota; Metazoa; Chordata; Mammalia; Rodentia; Muridae.
GAAGGGGCCAGGAGGCCCAACAUCCCCAGGUGACAGGUGACAGCCACCUGCUCCAGAACUGCCUGUUGUCGCCUUUGAAACAAACUUAGAGCUCCUCUCGCCCGCCACUCCGCUCCCUAACCCCAGUCCGGCAGGCAGCGGCUUCUAGAACCCUCUAGCCCUCGCCAACACUUCCUGCUCCUCGCCAACUCCUGCCGAUGGAGCCGGGCGGCCAGGCCGCUCACUUACCACAGCGCCCGCCCCUUGGGGGCCGUUCGGGGUCGUAUCCGCCAUGGGAGACACUCGGGAGCCCGGGACGCUGCGACAGCAAAGAAGAGCAAAACGUCAGUGCGGGGCGACGACCCUCCGAGCGGCUUUCGGAGCCGGCCGGAAGCCCAAGCCCCCGGAGUAACCGGCCCUCCCGGACCUGUGCAGCAAACGGCCGCAGAAGUCCCCCUAUGGCGGCCCGGUAGUACCUGCCCCGCUCGGUCCACACCAAAGCUGCCUUUCCAGAAAGACCCAAGCGAAGGCGGAGCUUCGGAGGAAGGCCUUAAAGGGCCGAUGGACGCCGCCGGUUCCCCGGGGUUGCAAAACCGGAAGUGAUCCUUUCGUUUCCGCGUGAGUCAGGAGGGGACGUUGAGAGUCACCGGGCGUGGCUUCCAGAGGCAUGACGGGAAAUGCAGUUUUUCUUCUCGUUUUGAUUCCACUUACCCUAGGAGCCAAUCGGCACGGAAACGUUAAGUGAAACCUGCGAGGCAACUUUCGUCUUGACCUGCACUCAGGCGAUUUUCCUCGCUGGCUUCCGAACCUCAAAAAUCGAAGCUUCAGAAAUAUCUAUGAUCUCUCCAGACAGUGAGUCACCAAACCCUGUGACUUAGUUUUCUUAUUUCAAGCACUAGUGAAAUCGACUAUGUGACAGACGCAUGGAGGAAAAAACAAAAAAACGAACAUAACACUGACCUUCUCAGAGAAAGUAGAGCAAAUACGACCAUAAGCUGAGUUAAUCGGGGGUUCCUGGAAAAGUAAUUCUGGCCAUAAAAUCUUGAAGGCAAAGGAGAAAUUGUAUAUGAAAGGGGAAGGAGGAUCCAAAUAAGGUAACAGAGCAGAUAAGGUAACAGAAUAGUCAGGACAGUUCGGUGUGAGCUAACUGAAUGGGUGGGUCGCGGGGGCGGGGGGCUAUGAAAGAUUUGGACUGCUGAGAGGCAGGGUGUGCCAAGAAAAACAUCACAUGAGGGUGUGGGAGGGGUUGGAAGGAAAGGGGGGGGAGAAAUGAUGAAGUUAUAUUUUAAUUAAAAAUAUUUUUUAAAGAU